UAAGGAAUAUUGGGCAAUGGACGCAAGUCUGACCCAGCCAUGCCGCGUGAAGGACGACAGCCCUACGGGUUGUAAACUUCUUUUGUACGGGAAAAAACUUUCGCUCGUGAGCGAAACUGAUGGUACCGUAAGAAUAAGCAUCGGCUAACUCCGUGCCAGCAGCCGCGGUAAUACGGAGGAUGCAAGCGUUAUCCGGAUUCAUUGGGUUUAAAGGGUGCGUAGGCGGGAUGAUAAGUCAGUGGUGAAAUCCUACAGCUUAACUGUAGAACUGCCAUUGAUACUGUCAACCUUGAGUACAUUUGAAGUGGGCGGAAUGUGUCAUGUAGCGGUGAAAUGCUUAGAUAUGACACAGAACACCGAUAGCGAAGGCAGCUCACUAAACUGUAACUGACGCUGAGGCACGAAAGCGUGGGGAUCAAACAGG
RNAcentral lists this ribosomal RNA (424 nucleotides) under uncultured bacterium. RNAcentral's name for it is "bacterial SSU rRNA". It matches the Rfam family "Bacterial small subunit ribosomal RNA", at positions 355 to 776 of the family's 1533-position model. The record is from RNAcentral.